Molecule: long non-coding RNA, 6009 nt
Organism: Passer domesticus (house sparrow)
Lineage: Eukaryota; Metazoa; Chordata; Aves; Passeriformes; Passeridae
Exons: 3
Source: RefSeq, a predicted model, not a curated record
GCCGCCUGGCGGGGUGACUGACGCGCGUCCCCGCUCCCCACGGUUCCCCCGCCCCGCCGCCCCCCCUGCCCGGGCCCCGGUUCUCCCCCACAGACCGCGGGCCGGGCCGAGAACCGGGCCGAGAACUGAAUACCCUUCCCUGGCCGCUACUGUCCCGUUGCCCAUCGAUUUCUCUCGGCCUACAGCUCCCGCAGGGCAGCGCGCCACCUGCUCUGGCCCGGCCAGGGCAGGCGGCAGCAAGGCACGUCGGGAGCUGUAGUUCGUGAGGGAGGGGAGCGGCACCGCCUCCGAGGCUUCUCCCCGGGUGGGCAGCGCAGCCGGCCCUGCCAGUGGCUCUACCGCCCCGCGUCUCACAGUGCCGGGCUCAGAACACCUCAAAAACCGGCGCGGUUCUCGCCUUCAUCCCACAGUCUGUCCUGGGCACUGUUUGGAGCGGGACUCCUGGCUCAGGCGCCUCUUCCAGCCCCUCGCCCACACCUGCCCCGGGGCUGCCGCCAGCUCGCUCGCUCCCCCCGGCCCUGCCGCCAUCGCACGGGCGCGGCUGUCACACAGCGCUGUGCCUUACGAGGCAGCCCCCCAGCUUCACUCCGUAGGGAGAUUUUCAAAGUUCUCUGAGAACUGCUGCCCAGUUCACCAGUCUGUUUUCAACCGCUUUGCUUUCAGUCCAGUUUUUGUGGGGGUGUUAGUCAUGUAGAGCUGGACAGGGAGGUCUGCUCGGGACUGGCGUCACCGCAGCGUUAUCUCCCACCACCCCUUUGGAAAAGACUAGCGUGAAAACUAGGGACUAAAUCACUUCAGUAUCUGGGAGCACGCCUGAGAAGGCUUACUAUCAACCUACAAACUGAAGUCAGAUUAAGGUAACUGCAAGAAAGUUAACACACAAAUGUCAGACUGGAUUACUUGGAGCACUUGACAGCCACUUGGACCGGCGGUAGAGCUGCUCUGCAGUCACCCUCGUGGUGUGCCUGCAGCGCAAGACACAUAUCCCUGCUCUCCCGUCUAAUGUGACAAUCGCUACCCAUGCCUUGCAAGAGGGCAAUUAGCAGUCUUCAAUUCCCUAGACAGAACAACCAAGAUCUGCAGUUUUGUCAGAUCCUGGUUUGUCUUUGAGUGCCUCCUCCUCCCCCAUGUUCCCCUUCACAUACCAGUCUUUGUAUGUAGUGUCAUUUCAGCAAGGAAUUACAUUUUCUGUUUGGAGGUUGUAAUAGAAUACAGCAUUUAAUAAGGUCAUAGAAAAGACAGGGCACCAUUGCUUAUCCCUUUACUCCCCUAUAUGGGUUGAAGGUGCAAGGCUGGAAAGAGCCAAAUCACUCUAUCUAUACCCAAUUUUCAUCUUGUUUUAGAGUAUAAGCAGAGUUAACAGGAGCAAUACUGUGUGAAAACUGCAGAAGAGCUUCAUGUUUGAACAAUGAAGGGAAAAUGAUUUCCCACUCAUUAAUCACUCUACAGAUCUUUGUAGACUCUAAGAAGCAAGGCUAUGUAGGAGUGGAGCCCUGACCACCUUUUAGUGGAGCCUGUCAGGGGAAUGGCAAGACUGGGAGUGCAGGUGUGAAGGUAGCCUGUUGCUUCCUCUAAGUUUUCAUCAUGCAGCCAGCAAUAAAUAACCAGCAACUUACCAGUCUCUUUCUUCACCUCAGAUCUAUUGCAAGUACCUUGGGUCUCAUACUGGCCUUCCAAACAGCAUCAAAAGUUUUCAGUCUUACCUCAAAUAAAUAGCAAAACCCAAGGUAACUCAGAGAAGACAAAACCCACACAAAGUAAAAUGUAACCUUAUUUGGAUAACAGAAAAGUUUCAAACUAAUAGUAUCCUUCCUGUAUAUAUAUAUAUAUAUUUUUUUUUUGCCAUAAGACUGGUUAAAAACAAAUCUGUCGUGAAUUGGCUUCUACUGCCAACCUUACCUGAUGGACAUUUCCUUCUGAACUUCAUAAAGAUGUUCUUUUUUUAUGGGUGAAGGGCACAUUCAGGGAUUGCUUGUAGAGGUCCCUGAAGUUCAGUUCUGCUUCUGCUGGGACAAACAAAACUUUGGGAACAGAUGGCAGAUGACAUAAUUUUUUGUAAAAAAAUUUCAUAAAAAUAAACUUUAUCACUUCUGUAAAGCAGGUAAUUGAGCUUAGUGAAUUCAACACAAAAGAAUUUUAAAUGAAUGGUGUUCAACUGAAUCCCUGAGCUUAUGUGAUGUGAAUCAGUUUCAUAGGGACACAAAUGUCCCACAUCUGAAGAGUUCUAUUUUGAAGUUUCUAUGAUUAAAUAAAGAAUAGGGAAGGAGCUACAUCCCCCUCUCAUUUUGGGAAAUUAACAUUAUUUUUGUUGCAGUUUCAAGGUUUCUCAUGUUUGAGAGACUUCUCUAGGCAUGAAAAGAAAAAGUAACAAAACUGAAAACUUUGGUGGGCAGAUUCCAGAGAGGAGGAGGAAAGGAGAAAGAAAGCAUUUCUAACUGAACUUUAGUAGUUGUCUAGGUUUUGAGCUCUUAUUCCUUCUGAAAAUACUGCCUAGAAAUAAGAUAUGCUGUAGAGACCAGUUUUGGACCACUCCCUCCCUUUGAGAUGUUUUAUUUUUCCAAACAAAACUGAACCAGCAGAGGCAGCUGGACCAGCAGCUGUAGAGCAGUACAGCAAGAAUGCUGUGAGAGAGGGACCAGCCUAUUAUUUAUAACUUCUGUGUCUGUGGUGGCAAGCAGCACAGCCCAGAGAAAAAGAUUAUCCCUAAUCUAGUAGUUUAGACUUGGAAUUUUCAUGACAACCUCAAUCAGUGUGAAGAUACACAAAAAUAUGUUCAUAAUCCAGAUAUUGCUGAUAUUUGGGUUAGGGGCCCUGUGAGCCUUGAAAGUUAAACUCCAAACAUUUCUUUGCAUUGUCAUCAGUUGUAAAUAAAAAUGAAGGGAAAUGAAGGGAAAAUGAAAGAACACACUCUAAUAGGAACAACUAGAAAAGUUUCCAUUUCACACACAAAUGGAAGAAUGAGCUUUUUAACAGAGCCAAAGAGUCAGGCAACUUCAGGUCUCCUCACUGUCUUUUGGAUCACCAGGAAGAAGUACAGUUUUGACCCUUCACAGUGACAGUAUAUGAUGUUCAGCUGUUCUAUCCAACAUGGCAAUUUGCUAUACCAUCUGCAGCUAUAGUAUUUACUCUGGGAAGCACAUCUGUGCUCUGACCAGAGCAGAGAAAAUGAGGAAGUAGGUUUAUCUAAAGAUCGAAUCUUAAGCAGUGGUGGAGUUUGUUGGGAAACAGUGGGAAAAUGGUCACCCUUUUGAUCAUCUGGAAAGAUAUUUCCUCUUAGUUACAGAGGUAUUCAGCCAAGCAAUAACAUGCUAUGGAGCAGAGAAAUGCAUGUAAACCAAAUCCUUCUCAACCACUAUGCUUCCUUAAAAUGCCAGUUUGUAACCUUAAAAACAACAAAAACACCUUAAAGGUGAAGAAACAGUUCAAUUCCAUGCAGAAUCCAGAUCACCUGCAACAGAUUUUUCUCUCUCAGAAGCAAAACAACAUAUACAUACACACACACACACACACACACACAUAAAUAUCCCUUUUUACACAUACAAGACCCAGCAGCAAUUCCUUGUCAUGCAAGCAAAGCUCAGGAGGAAAAGUGAAGUCAAAAGAAAGGAAUGUUGAAACAUAUUCUUACACAUUUUUGCCUUCACAUUCCUUAUUAUAAAUAUGAAAAAAAAUUAGCCAUGGAUUAAUGGGGCCUUACUAGUGCAGCAAAGAAAAGUUUGCAAAGAAAGGGUCAUUAUGACAGUUUUUCCUACUGCCUAUUGAGAAGAAAUAGAGCUUCUUUGUACAAGCAAUAGGCAAGAAUAGCUAGAGGAAGAGGUUGUAAAGGAAUCCUCUUGGUAUAAGAUAUACAAACCUCUAAGCUUCAUAAGCUUCUGGAAGUUUCAUUUUAGAAAAUUUUCUUUUAAUUUUGAUAUAACUUGCUUAAGAAAUGAUGACUUAUAAAUCUUCUUUCCUCAAAAUAUUAAGUGAUCUGGUCCUCUUGCAUCUUUCAUUGAGGAGAAGUGGAGAUUCUUGAGUUUAUGGAAAGGUUGUUUGAAGAUCUGCUCGCUUGCCUCUGACAUAACUAAUGCUCCUAUCUCCAGCACAUACUGUGGGCUUUUAGGCAGUAUCAACAAAUUUAUUAUUAAAAAAAAACCAACAAGCAACAAAACAAUGAAGCAAACCCAAAACAGAAUUAAAAGGCCCCUGUAACAUGCUAACUUCAAAAGAAUCAGAGCAAAGGAAGAUAUAUUCAAAAAUUACCCAGUACAAGAGCUGAGAAAUGCAAAACACAAGCUCAUCACUCCCUAAAUUAGGGCUUGUGGUGGUUUCACCCCAGCCAGCAACCAAUGACAAAAACAUCUCUACAUUAUCAACUGCGUUCAGAACAAAUCCAAUACCUAGCCCCCUAGCAGCCAUUGGAAAAAAAAUUACCUCAGGUGAAAUCUGCACAGCUAUAAUCAAUAUCUGUUUCCUUUUCUUUCCUUUCUUUUAAAAGAGAUGCAUUUCAGAUUACAAAAUAGAACACAAAGGUUAUUUUUAUCUAACCUGAUUACCCAAGCUGAGAGCUAGAACCAGACCUAUUAUGAUAGUCAACUGAACUUUUUGUACACAGCUUACUCUCUGGUAUUCUUUGUUAAUAAAUCAGUGACUGGGUACAGAGAGAACAGAUGCCUCUCUACUGCUCUGGGUGUUGCGCUCUGCUCAGUCCAUAGGCAGAAGGGGGAAAUUCCCCUGGGAGCAGUUAACCAUACUCACUUGGGAGAAAGACUUGGUGUGAAAUAAUAGGAUUAUUGUAAUAAAGUGAUUUCCUUACUUCUUGAUAUGAAAAGCUCCCGCCUUUUUAGGAGGGUGAGAAAGAGUCUGAAGAAGAGAACACAGUGAAUUUCUACAGGAAAUAAAUUUGUAAAAGAGUUAGGGUUAAGAUGCACUAGCAUUAAUACUCAAAUACUCAAGUCUUAUAGGAAAUAGAAAUAUUUUUUCUUUGUUGAGGCAUUUGUACAGACUGUAUUUAGUUUGGGGAAUUUCUGAGUAAGAAAAAUUAACUUCAAGGAAGGUUGUAGCCUUUAGGGGUUUAGCAGGUAGGGGAGAGAUUUGUUCUCAGACUAUUUUUUAAGCAUGUCUCAAUAUUUCUGAAUUUGCACUUGUUACAGAUAUAGUUUGUUCUACUUUUUAGGGGUUAUAAAGCUGUCAUAUUUUUGGGUGACUUUAAGAAAAGGGGAAAUUUGGGUAGGUUUUUUUUUGAUAUUACUGAAAGCCUUGGUCCUGACAAAAUAUUUAUGUGGACAAUUGCUUGCUCUUCCAAUAAUUCCAUCAUAACUUACUUGACUGCAGGUAAAAAUUAAUAUCUUUGUGUUCUUACUUUAUUAUUCAGCUCUAUAUCUGCAAAAUAAUUGGGGGUUUUGUCAUCCUUUAACCAUUUUUGUUACCUUUUCCAAGGUGAAUGUUUAGUAAAGCUUUGUUUAAACUAUGCAGGUCUGAGGCUAUGUAUGGUAUCUUUUUUUCUGGAGAAAAGUGUGAUAAAAAAAACUUGCAAUAUAACAGGUACAGGGACAGCUCUCUACCCCUGAAAUGAAAUGCAGUGAGUACUUAACAACCUGAACAACAAUUUUUAGAGAGCAAAGAUCAAACUAUGGAUUAAUAGGUGCCCUUGCUGAUGCUGUAACUGUUGUAACUGUAUGUCAGUUCUGGUGUGAGCAGAACAAAUUACAUUUAUGGAAACCUGGGAGUUUUUUAGAACAGCUAACAAUGCUGUUUCUACUUCUUAUGACAUUUUGGAGAAUGUUUAGUGAACACAAAGAUGUGGAAGUGUUUUUGUAUGAAUUUAGUGAACAAAGAACAUUCCAUCCAUACUGAAUGAUCAUUUUCAGAAAUAAAUGUCCAGUUGUUUAUAAUGAGCAAUAGGAUUAUAGUAAUUCUAGCUCAUGUUUUCUUAUUUAUUAUGAUUUUUAAAUACACUUUAAUAAUAUCAACUGCAUGCAUUUACAGUUUUUUAAAAAUCUACAUUUUAAUUAAACUGCACUGAAAUUA